GCUCUGGGUUCCCUCAUGCUCCUGAUAAGUGAUGUCAGGCCUUGAGGGCUUAGCAUUACUUCCUCCACUGAAGCCCCAGAGACGGCAAGAUCCCGGCUGUGGCUGACAGCAGAGCCCACAGCCACGCCAGCUGGGCCAUCAGACCUGGUUGCCAGGGUGCAGCAGCAGGUUCCCAUCUGAAAAUCAGCACCUCCAUGACUGUGUUUCUGAAGAGACCCAAGGCCUGUGCUGAAACCGAGGGCAGUGGCAUGAACUCUGGACUCUAAUCCUCAAGGCACUAACAACUAGGAAUGCAGAGUGGCUUUAUGAAGCGGAAUAUAAAGGAUUGGCAGAAUCCCUGCCAUCAAGAGCUUAUGGUCUAGCAGGAGC
This is a long non-coding RNA of Myotis brandtii (Brandt's bat), 369 nucleotides long. RefSeq lists it as uncharacterized. The transcript has 3 exons. The record is from RefSeq and is a predicted model, not a curated record. NCBI's taxonomy places the organism in Eukaryota, Metazoa, Chordata, Mammalia, Chiroptera, Vespertilionidae.